Molecule: ribosomal RNA, 490 nt
Filed under: uncultured bacterium
Lineage: Bacteria
Description: partial 16S ribosomal RNA
Rfam family: Bacterial small subunit ribosomal RNA
Source: RNAcentral
GUUGAACGCUGGCGGCAGGCCUAACACAUGCAAGUCGAACGGUAACAGGAAGAAGCUUGCUUCUUUGUUGACGAGUGGCGGACGGGUGAGUAAUGUCUGGGAAACUGCCUGAUGGAUGGGGAUAACUACUGGAAACGGUAGCUAAUACCGCAUAACGUCGCAAGACCAAAAAGGGGGACCUUCGGGCCUCUUGCCAUCGGCUGUGCCCUGAUGGGAUUAGCUAGUAGGUGGGGUAACGGCUCACCUAGGCGACGAUCCCUAGCUGGUCUGAGAGGGUGACCAGCCACACUGGAACUGAGACACGGUCCAGACUCCUACGGGAGGCAGCAGUAGGGAAUAUUGCACAAUGGGCGCAAGCCUGAUGCAGCCAUGCCGCGUGUAUGAAGAAGGCCUUCGGGUUGUAAAGUACUUUCAGCGGGGAGGAAGGGAGUAAAGUUAAUACCUUUACACAUUGACGUUACCCGCAGAAGAAGCACCGGCUAACUCCGUG